RNAcentral lists this ribosomal RNA (253 nucleotides) under uncultured bacterium. Its description in RNAcentral is "partial 16S ribosomal RNA". It matches the Rfam family "Bacterial small subunit ribosomal RNA", at positions 524 to 776 of the family's 1533-position model. The record is from RNAcentral.
UACGUAGGGUGCAAGCGUUACUCGGAAUUACUGGGCGUAAAGCGUGCGCAGGCGGCUAUGCAAGACAGAUGUGAAAUCCCCGGGCUCAACCUGGGAACUGCAUUUGUGACUGCAUGGCUAGAGUACGGCAGAGGGGGAUGGAAUUCCGCGUGUAGCAGUGAAAUGCGUAGAUAUGCGGAGGAACACCGAUGGCGAAGGCAAUCCCCUGGGCCUGUACUGACGCUCAUGCACGAAAGCGUGGGGAGCAAACAGG